AACGAACGCUGGCGGCAUGCCUAACACAUGCAAGUCGAACGAGAUCCUUCGGGGUCUAGUGGCGCACGGGCGCGUAACGCGUGGGAAUCUGCCCUUAGGUUCGGAAUAACAGUUAGAAAUGACUGCUAAUACCGGAUGAUGACGUUAAGUCCAAAGAUUUAUCGCCUGAGGCUGAGCCCGCGUAGGAUUAGCUAGUUGGUGUGGUAAAGGCGCACCAAGGCGACGAUCCUUAGCUGGUCUGAGAGGAUGAUCAGCCACACUGGGACUGAGACACGGCCCAGAAUCGUACGGGAGGCAGCAGUGGGGAAUAUUGGAGACUGGACGCAAGCGUGAUCCAGCAAUGCCGCGUGAGUGAUGAAGGCCUUAGGGUUGUAAAGCUCUUUUACCCGGGAUGAUAAUGACGGUACCGGGAGAAUAAGCCCCGGCUAACUCCGUG
RNAcentral lists this ribosomal RNA (436 nucleotides) under uncultured bacterium. RNAcentral's name for it is "partial 16S ribosomal RNA". It matches the Rfam family "Bacterial small subunit ribosomal RNA", at positions 29 to 507 of the family's 1533-position model. The record is from RNAcentral.